RNAcentral lists this ribosomal RNA (498 nucleotides) under uncultured bacterium. RNAcentral's name for it is "partial 16S ribosomal RNA". It matches the Rfam family "Bacterial small subunit ribosomal RNA", at positions 30 to 523 of the family's 1533-position model. The record is from RNAcentral.
AUUGAACGCUGGCGGCAUGCCUUACACAUGCAAGUCGAACGGUAACAGGUCUUCGGAUGCUGACGAGUGGCGAACGGGUGAGUAAUACAUCGGAACGUGCCAAGUAGUGGGGGAUAACUACUCGAAAGAGUGGCUAAUACCGCAUGAGAUCUACGGAUGAAAGCAGGGGAUCGCAAGACCUUGUGCUACUAGAGCGGCCGAUGGCAGAUUAGGUAGUUGGUGGGAUAAAAGCUUACCAAGCCGACGAUCUGUAGGUGGUCUGAGAGGACGAUCAGCCACACUGGGACUGAGACACGGCCCAGACUCCUACGGGAGGCAGCAGUGGGGAAUUUUGGACAAUGGGCGCAAGCCUGAUCCAGCAAUGCCGCGUGCAGGAUGAAGGCCUUCGGGUUGUAAACUGCUUUUGUACGGAACGAGAAGCCCCGGGUUAAUACCCUGGGGUCAUGACGGUACCGUAAGAAUAAGCACCGGCUAACUACGUGCCAGCAGCCGCAGUAA